This 536-nucleotide ribosomal RNA is filed under the name uncultured bacterium. RNAcentral describes it as "bacterial LSU rRNA". It matches the Rfam family "Bacterial large subunit ribosomal RNA", at positions 614 to 1149 of the family's 2925-position model. The record is from RNAcentral.
AAUGGGUCAACGACUUGGUCUAUCUAGCAAGCUUAAGCCGUUAGGUGUAGGCGCAGCGAAAGCGAGUCUUAAAUGGGCGACUUAGUUAGAUGGAUCAGACCCGAAACCAGAUGAUCUAGGCAUGAGCAGGAUGAAGGUUGGGUAACACCAACUGGAGGUCCGAACCCACACCUGUUGAAAAAGGUCGGGAUGACUUGUGCCUAGGGGUGAAAGGCCAAUCAAAUCUGGAGAUAGCUGGUUCUCCGCGAAAGCUAUUUAGGUAGCGCCUCGGACGUAUCCUCCUGGGGGUAGAGCACUACAUGGAUGAUGGGGGCCCACAGCCUUACUGAGUCUAAGUAAACUCCGAAUACCAGGAAGGACUAUCCGGGAGACACACGGCGGGUGCUAACGUCCGUCGUGGAGAGGGAAACAACCCUGACCAACAGCUAAGGCCCCCAAUUCGUGGCUAAGUGGGAAAGCAUGUGAGACUUCCAAAAACAACCAGGAGGUUGGCUUAGAAGCAGCCAUCCUUAAAGAUAGCGUAACAGCUCACUGGU